GAUGGACGCUAGCGGCAGGCCUAACACAUGCAAGUCGAGGGGGAGGUUACUUUCGGGUAACUGAGACCGGCGUACGGGUGCGUAACGCGUAUACAAUCUGCCUUUCACUGGGGGAUAGCCCGAAGAAAUUUGGAUUAAUACCCCAUAGUAUAGUAAUACGGCAUCGUGAUGCUAUUAAAGCUUAGGUGGUGAAAGAUGAGUAUGCGUUCUAUUAGCUAGUUGGAGAGGUAACGGCUCCCCAAGGCGAUGAUAGAUAGGGGUUCUGAGAGGGAUGUCCCCCACACUGGUACUGAGAUACGGACCAGACUCCUACGGGAGGCAGCAGUGAGGAAUAUUGGACAAUGGUCGGAAGACUGAUCCAGCCAUGCCGCGUGCAGGAUGAAGGUCUUAUGGAUUGUAAACUGCUUUUGUAAGGGAAGAAUAAGGGCUACGCGUAGUUUGAUGACGGUACCUUACGAAUAAGCAUCGGCUAACUCCGUG
Molecule: ribosomal RNA, 480 nt
Filed under: uncultured bacterium
Lineage: Bacteria
Description: partial 16S ribosomal RNA
Rfam family: Bacterial small subunit ribosomal RNA
Source: RNAcentral